Molecule: long non-coding RNA, 3448 nt
Organism: Gasterosteus aculeatus aculeatus (three-spined stickleback)
Lineage: Eukaryota; Metazoa; Chordata; Actinopteri; Perciformes; Gasterosteidae
Source: Ensembl
UCAAACAAAAACAAGCUCACAAUCCUCACCAACAAAUCUAUCGAAAAUGACUAUUAUUAAAUCUCCAAACUGUAAGUUAUUGACUUAAACUCUUUCGUAUUGUAUUGCUUCAUGAAUUCAUUCCCAAAAGACGGAAACAAGAAUAUGUACUCACAAGGCUUAAGAGUAUUAAAUAAUUAUUCAGCUUUUUUUUAUUCACUGAAUUGAACUUUGGUCUAGCAAAUGUGAGAAAGUACCAACAUUGCCAAUUAUAAUUCCCCACGACGCCAUUCAUAUUUUAUGAAUAAUGCUUGAAAUCUGAGAAAUACUUGGUAAAAAUCUGCUAAAAAUAUGAUUUACUGCUGAUCACCACUUGAACUCACAUCCGUUGUCAAUUUGCUAGAGUGUACUGACACUAGCUACAUGUGUCUGUACACAUGUACGCAUGGCAAAACAUUGCCUACAGAGGUGUGUUUCCUCUAAUAACAUGGUUCAUCUUUAAUGACGUAUUCUUGAAGUAAAAUAGGGAUAGGCAGUGACGUCCAUUCAACAAGAACAGGUGUGGCAUAUGAACCAGAAAACAACAACAACAACAACACAACACUGGCAGCAAAAGUAGGGUUUCCGGUUUUGUCUAAAUUAAACUAUAUCAAACAUAUUGAAAUAUAUAUAUUAUAUAAAUGUCCCUAUCUAUAUAAAUAAAGGCAAAUAUAUCUAUAUACAUACGAUAUAUUAAAUACGUUAUACAGUAUAUUAUAUUAUUUCAUAUUUAGAUAUAUAUAUAUUGAAAGAGGCAUUUUCAUGAACAUCUCACGCAACAGAUAUGCUCUCUUUUUAAUCUAUCUAGCUGUCUGCACUGGCUCGUUACAGCUAAACUGGAGUCCAAGUAAAGCAUUUAGCUGACAUUUUCUCAAAUUGUUACUUCUUCAGUUUAUUUGGUUCAAUACACUGUAACCCGGGUUAUUGCUUUAUCAGCCCCAAUAGCUUCUACCUGUGUACGUCAAACACAUGGCAGUGCAGCACAGGGCUGGAGGCAUCAGGGUCUGAGCUGAGUUUCAAGUGAUCUUGCAUCCCUCCGCAGGUGCUCUAUCUAAGGUUUUACAAGUGUGUUACAACGCACUUGAUAAACCGCAACACGUUAUUCUCAAUGUUCUUUUAUCUAUGUUAAUACAGACAGAGGCAGUCGGGUCAAUACAAAAACAGCAGGGGUUGGAAUGUCACCUGAACACAUCAACAGCACAGCACUGCUAAAAAUAACUGGAAAAGUAUCCACCAAGUGCUGCAAAGAUCAAUGUUGUGUGUUACGUAUAGGGAUAUGACCUGUUGGAAUGGAAUGGAAGUGCGUAUGAACAGUAAAACAUUACACAAUCCUUAUUCAAAUGAACAUUUUUUUGAUUUUAUUAUUAUUCAGUCAGUAAACAUUUUAGAAGUCAAAAUUAGUAGGAAACAUAUAUGACCAAAACAUAGAUAAGUGUGGUGGAGUAAAGAAUAACGGAUCCCUUUGAAAGAGCACAACAUUGUGAUAUUUAAAAUCAUUUAAAAAUGAAGGGGAAUGAGUACAAGAAGAGAACUUUUCAAUCAUUACAAACCAUUGAAACCAAUUAAAGACUGCGAAAAUGUAAUUUAACAUUUGGGAUAUGAUCAGCAUAUGAUUUCAUUCUUUCUCUCUAUUGCAGUACGAGCACUUCAGUGUUUGACUUGCACAGAUGCACAGUGUUCAACAACAAUACCAGUCACAUGUUCCUCAGAGACGAUGUGCAUCACAGCUUCCAUUAUAGGUGGGGAUUUAUUUAUACCUGCUACUUAAAAUAAAGAAAAGUAACAUUAACAGAGUUAUCUGUGUCUUCUGUCAGUAAUGACGAAUUGCUCUUUUGAAUUUUUAGCAACUUCAUCUGGAUCACCAGCACAGCAAACAGUCAUGGCGUGUGCAUCAUGCUUCCUGUGUCCAGCCACAGGCUCUCAGACAUUUUCAGCCAACUUGGGUGUUGCAGGCGCAGUUGCAUCUGCUAAGUGCUGCAACACAGAUCAUUGCAACGCUGAAACUCUACCGGGUAAGUAAAGAUAAAAAAAGCCCAUUUAAGAUGAGAAAAUAUGAAUGUCACGCACCACAAGAGACCAGAGUGAACUCAAGCGCAGAGCGCAGUUUUAUUAGCGGGGUACAGACAAGGAUCAGGCGUGGUAGGGUCCGGUGAACAGGCAGGGGUCGAAAGCCGGGAGCGCGAAGGUAGGCAGAGGUACCGUCGAGGGUCAGGCAGGCGUGAACGCAGUUGCAUCUGCUAAGUGCUGACACACAGAUAAUUGCAACGCUGAAACUCUACCGGGUAAGUAGAGAUAAAAAAGAAGCUCAUUUAAGAUGAGAAAAUUUGAAAUAGAUAAUAAAAUAACUUUGAUAUCCUGUCAUCUUCUGAUAAUUUCAAGUUUAAUUUUGUAAAGUUGAAAUGUUGUCUCUUCAAUAAACUAAUUAUGUUCUUUUUCUGUUUCAGUCCCUGGCAGUCAGACAGAUAACAGCCUACGAUGCCUCAGUUGUGACCCCUUUACCUCUCAAUGUAAUACUGUAGUAACGUGUAGGGGAGAGAAGAACCAAUGCUUUCAAGCAAGUGGUAAGUCUUGAUCAUAAGUAGUAUAUAUGUAUGAUGUGUUUCUUUCUAUUAAUAUUUCACUACAUUCAAUUGGUAAUUAUUGUACUUUUGACUGUAUUACCUUUAACAGAAAUACAAAGUUUAAAAUAUCCUUUUUUACAGGUAUUUCAGUCAUGUUCUGCAUUGUUGUACUGCUUAUUUUUUAAUUGGCAAACUGAUAUGGAUGUUGUGUAAUGAAAAUUGACUUUUCCUCUACAGUGACAAGUGGAUCCAGCACUUCUCCAGCCUUUGGCUGUGCAUCUACAAACCUGUGUGCAGCUGCUUCCAGCCUGGGUAGCAUUCCUUUCUUGCAAAGCGUUGGAACCAUCAGCAGUGGACCAUCCUGCUGUGGGACCAGUUUGUGUAACACUGGCACCGUAACAACUGCUGCACUAACUACAACUGCAGCCCCAACAACAACAGCUGGACCGACAACAACUGCAGUCCUAACAAAAACUGCUGCACCAACUACAACUAAAGCCCCAGCAACAACUGCAGAUCCAACAACCACUGCUAAACCAACUAAAACAGCAGCCCAGACAACAACUGCUGCACCAACUACAACUGCAGCCCCAACAAGUCCUGCAACAACUACAACUGCAGCCCCAACAACAAUUGUUGCAACGACUACUACCUCAGCCCCGGAUAACAACUGCUGCACCAACUACAACUAUAGUCCCAAUUACAACUGCUGCACCAACUACAACUGCAAUCCCAACAACAACUAAAGCACCAACAACAACUGCUGCACCAACUACAUCUGUGGCCCAGACAACAACUGCAGCACAAAUAACAACUGCAGCACCAUACUAUAGGCAGCAGCCAUAACUACAACUGCAGCUCCGAUAACA